GUCUAUAUUAUUUUUUAUAUUUAGUCUAACCUGCCCACUGAUAAUUAAAUGGCCGCGGUAUUCUAACCGUGCAAAGGUAGCAUAAUAAUUAGUUUUUUAAUUGAAAGCUUGUAUGAAAGGUUGGACAAAAAAUAAACUGUUUUUAUUUUUAAAUUUUAAUUUUACUUUUAAGUUAAAAGGCUUAAAUAUUUUAAAAAGACGAUAAGACCCUAUAAAUCUUAAUAAAAUUUAUUUUAAAAAUAUUAUUGUGUUUAAUAAAUUUUAUAAAUUAAAUAUAUUAAAUUGGGGCAAUAAGAAUAUAAAUAAAAUAAAACUGUUCUAAAAAAAAAACAAAAAUUUUUGUGAGUUUAAAGAACCUUUUUUAAAGGUUAGAAGUUUAAGUUACUUUAGGGAUAACAGCGUAAUUUUUUUUGAGAGUUCUUAUCGAAAAAAAAGUUUGCGACCUCGAUGUUGAAUUAAAAUUUCUUUUAAGGUGCAGUAGCCUAAAAAGUAAGUCUGUUCGACUUUUAAA
RNAcentral lists this ribosomal RNA (511 nucleotides) under Phylladiorhynchus nudus. RNAcentral describes it as "partial large subunit ribosomal RNA". The stretch from base 392 to 511 matches the Rfam family "Bacterial large subunit ribosomal RNA", at positions 2473 to 2592 of the family's 2925-position model. The record is from RNAcentral. Lineage: Eukaryota; Metazoa; Arthropoda; Malacostraca; Decapoda; Galatheidae.